This 220-nucleotide ribosomal RNA is filed under the name uncultured Staphylococcus sp. RNAcentral describes it as "partial 16S ribosomal RNA". It matches the Rfam family "Bacterial small subunit ribosomal RNA", at positions 120 to 334 of the family's 1533-position model. Lineage: Bacteria; Bacillati; Bacillota; Bacilli; Caryophanales; Staphylococcaceae. The record is from RNAcentral.
GGUAACCUACCUAUAAGACUGGGAUAACUUCGGGAAACCGGAGCUAAUACCGGAUAAUAUAUUGAACCGCAUGGUUCAAUAGUGAAAGACGGUUUUGCUGUCACUUAUAGAUGGAUCCGCGCCGCAUUAGCUAGUUGGUAAGGUAACGGCUUACCAAGGCAACGAUGCGUAGCCGACCUGAGAGGGUGAUCGGCCACACUGGAACUGAGACACGGUCCAG